GUCGGCGUGGCGGAAUUGGUAGACGCGCACGGUUGAGGGCCGUGUGCCCGAAAGGGCUUGAGGGUUCAAAUCCCUCCGCCGACA
Molecule: transfer RNA, 84 nt
Filed under: Actinomycetota bacterium
Lineage: Bacteria; Bacillati; Actinomycetota
Description: Actinobacteria bacterium tRNA-Leu
Rfam family: tRNA
About the family: Transfer RNA (tRNA) molecules are approximately 80 nucleotides in length. Their secondary structure includes four short double-helical elements and three loops (D, anti-codon, and T loops).
Source: RNAcentral